CUUGCUCCUUUGACGUUAGCGGCGGACGGGUGAGUAACACGUGGGUAACCUACCUAUAAGACUGGGAUAACUUCGGGAAACCGGAGCUAAUACCGGAUAAUAUUUCGAACCGCAUGGUUCGAUAGUGAAAGAUGGCUCUGCUAUCACUUAUAGAUGGACCUGCGCCGUAUUAGCUAGUUGGUAAGGUAACGGCUUACCAAGGCAACGAUACGUAGCCGACCUGAGAGGGUGAUCGGCCACACUGGAACUGAGACACGGUCCAGACUCCUACGGGAGGCAGCAGUAGGGAAUCUUCCGCAAUGGGCGAAAGCCUGACGGAGCAACGCCGCGUGAGUGAUGAAGGUCUUCGGAUCGUAAAACUCUGUUAUUAGGGAAGAACAAACGUGUAAGUAACUGUGCACGUCUUGACGGUACCUAAUCAGAAAGCCACGGCUAACUACGUGCCAGCAGCCGCGGUAAUACGUAGGUGGCAAGCGUUAUCCGGAAUUAUUGGGCGUAAAGCGCGCGUAGGCGGUUUUUUAAGUCUGAUGUGAAAGCCCACGGCUCAACCGUGGAGGGUCAUUGGAAACUGGAAAACUUGAGUGCAGAAGAGGAAAGUGGAAUUCCAUGUGUAGCGGUGAAAUGCGCAGAGAUAUGGAG
This 639-nucleotide ribosomal RNA is filed under the name Staphylococcus hominis. RNAcentral's name for it is "bacterial SSU rRNA". It matches the Rfam family "Bacterial small subunit ribosomal RNA", at positions 79 to 703 of the family's 1533-position model. Lineage: Bacteria; Bacillati; Bacillota; Bacilli; Caryophanales; Staphylococcaceae. The record is from RNAcentral.